Molecule: ribosomal RNA, 309 nt
Filed under: uncultured fungus
Lineage: Eukaryota; Fungi
Description: eukaryotic LSU rRNA
Rfam family: 5.8S ribosomal RNA (bases 1-71)
Source: RNAcentral
GUGAAUCAUCGAAUCUUUGAACGCACACUGCGCCCGUCAGUAUUCUGGCGGGCAUGCCUGUUCGAGCGUCAUUACGCCCCUCAAGUCCCCUGUGGACUUGGUGUUGGGGAUCGGCGAGGCUGGUUUUCCAGCACAGCCGUCCCUCAAAUCAAUUGGCGGUCUCGCCGUGGCCCUCCUCUGCGCAGUAGUAAAACACUCGCAACAGGAGCCCGGCGCGGUCCACUGCCGUAAAACCCCCCAACUUUUUAUAGUUGACCUCGAAUCAGGUAGGACUACCCGCUGAACUUAAGCAUAUCAAUAAGCGGAGGA